AGUGAACGCUGGCGGUAGGCCUAACACAUGCAAGUCGAACGGCAGCACAGUAAGAGCUUGCUCUUACGGGUGGCGAGUGGCGGACGGGUGAGGAAUACAUCGGAAUCUACUUUUUCGUGGGGGAUAACGUAGGGAAACUUACGCUAAUACCGCAUACGACCUACGGGUGAAAGCAGGGGAUCUUCGGACCUUGCGCGUUUGAAUGAGCCGAUGUCGGAUUAGCUAGUUGGCGGGGUAAAGGCCCACCAAGGCGACGAUGCGUAGCUGGUCUGAGAGGAUGAUCAGCCACACUGGAACUGAGACACGGUCCAGACUCCUACGGGAGGCAGCAGUGGGGAAUAUUGGACAAUGGGCGCAAGCCUGAUCCAGCCAUACCGCGUGGGUGAAGAAGGCCUUCGGGUUGUAAAGCCCUUUUGUUGGGAAAGAAAAGCAGCAGGUUAAUACCCCGCUGUUCUGACGGUACCCAAAGAAUAAGCACCGGCUAACUUCGUG
RNAcentral lists this ribosomal RNA (492 nucleotides) under uncultured bacterium. RNAcentral's name for it is "partial 16S ribosomal RNA". It matches the Rfam family "Bacterial small subunit ribosomal RNA", at positions 29 to 507 of the family's 1533-position model. The record is from RNAcentral.